Molecule: ribosomal RNA, 427 nt
Filed under: uncultured bacterium
Lineage: Bacteria
Description: bacterial SSU rRNA
Rfam family: Bacterial small subunit ribosomal RNA
Source: RNAcentral
UGGGGAAUUUUGGACAAUGGGCGCAAGCCUGAUCCAGCAAUGCCGCGUGCAGGAUGAAGGCCUUCGGGUUGUAAACUGCUUUUGUACGGAGCGAAAAGGUCUGCCCUAAUACGGUGGGCUCAUGACGGUACCGUAAGAAUAAGCACCGGCUAACUACGUGCCAGCAGCCGCGGUAAUACGUAGGGUGCGAGCGUUAAUCGGAAUUACUGGGCGUAAAGCGUGCGCAGGCGGUUAUAUAAGACAGAGGUGAAAUCCCCGGGCUCAACCUGGGAACUGCCUUUGUGACUGCAUAGCUAGAGUACGGUAGAGGGGGAUGGAAUCCCGCGUGUAGCAGUGAAAUGCGUAGAUAUGCGGAGGAACACCGAUGGCGAAGGCAAUCCCCUGGACCUGUACUGACGCUCAUGCACGAAAGCGUGGGGAGCAAACA